ACGGGUGUGGCUCAGUAGUAGAGCACUUGCCUAGCAUGUAUGAGUCUCUGAGUUCCAUUCCCAGCACAAGAA
This 72-nucleotide transfer RNA is filed under the name Heterocephalus glaber (naked mole-rat). It matches the Rfam family "tRNA". Rfam says of the family: Transfer RNA (tRNA) molecules are approximately 80 nucleotides in length. The record is from Rfam by way of RNAcentral. Lineage: Eukaryota; Metazoa; Chordata; Mammalia; Rodentia; Bathyergidae.